This 250-nucleotide ribosomal RNA is filed under the name uncultured bacterium. Its description in RNAcentral is "partial 16S ribosomal RNA". It matches the Rfam family "Bacterial small subunit ribosomal RNA", at positions 525 to 775 of the family's 1533-position model. The record is from RNAcentral.
ACGUAGGUGGCAAGCGUUGUCCGGAAUUAUUGGGCGUAAAGAGCAUGUAGGCGGGCUUUUAAGUCCGACGUGAAAAUGCGGGGCUUAACCCCGUAUGGCGUUGGAUACUGGAAGUCUUGAGUGCAGGAGAGGAAAGGGGAAUUCCCAGUGUAGCGGUGAAAUGCGCAGAUAUUGGGAGGAACACCAGUGGCGAAGGCGCCUUUCUGGACUGUGUCUGACGCUGAGAUGCGAAAGCCAGGGUAGCAAACGG